GACGAGGGAUCCUAGCGUUGUUCGGAAUCAUUGGGCGUAAAGCGGGUGUAGGCGGUCUUAUAAGUCAGGUGUGAAAGCCCAGGGCUCAACCCUGGAAGUGCACUUGAUACUGUAAGACUUGAGUGUGGUAGAGGCUACUGGAAUUCCUGGUGUAGUGGUAAAAUACGUAGAUAUCAGGAGGAAUACCGGAGGCGAAGGCGAGUAGCUGGGCCAACACUGACGCUGAGAUCCGAAAGCGUGGGGAUCAAACAGG
This 253-nucleotide ribosomal RNA is filed under the name uncultured bacterium. RNAcentral's name for it is "partial 16S ribosomal RNA". It matches the Rfam family "Bacterial small subunit ribosomal RNA", at positions 524 to 776 of the family's 1533-position model. The record is from RNAcentral.